ACUACGGGUGGCAGCAGUGAGGAAUAUUGGUCAAUGGGCGGAAGCCUGAACCAGCCAAGUCGCGUGAGGGAUUAAGGCCCUGCGGGUCGUAAACCUCUUUUGCCGGGGAGCAGAGGUCCGGACGUGUCCGGGCCGGGAGAGUACCCGGAGAAAAAGCAUCGGCUAACUCCGUGCCAGCAGCCGCGGUAAUACGGGGGAUGCGAUGGUAAUCGGGAUUUAUGGGGUUUAAAGGGUGCGUAGGCGGGCAUUUAAGCCGACGGGCAAAUGUGGGGGCUCAACCCCGGGCUGCCGGCGGAACUGGGAGCCUUGAGUGGGCGAGAAGUAUGCGGAAUGCGUGGUGUAGCGGUGAAAUGCAUAGAUAUCACGCAGAACCCCGAUUGCGAAGGCAGCAUACCGGCGCCCAACUGACGCUGAAGCACGAAAGCGUGGGUAUCGAACAGGAUUAGAUACCCGUGUAGUC
RNAcentral lists this ribosomal RNA (460 nucleotides) under uncultured bacterium. Its description in RNAcentral is "partial 16S ribosomal RNA". It matches the Rfam family "Bacterial small subunit ribosomal RNA", at positions 338 to 795 of the family's 1533-position model. The record is from RNAcentral.